AUGAACGCUGGCGGCGUGCCUCAUACAUGCAAGUCGCGCGAACGGACGAGAAGCUUGCUUUUCUGAUGUUAGCGGCGGACGGGUGAGUAACACGUGGAUAACCUACCUAUAAGACUGGGAUAACUUCGGGAAACCGGAGCUAAUACCGGAUAAUAUUUUGAACCGCAUGGUUCAAAAGUGAAAGACGGUCUUGCUGUCACUUAUAGAUGGAUCCGCGCUGCAUUAGCUAGUUGGUAAGGUAACGGCUUACCAAGGCAACGAUGCAUAGCCGACCUGAGAGGGUGAUCGGCCACACUGGAACUGAGACACGGUCCAGACUCCUACGGGAGGCAGCAGUAGGGAAUCUUCCGCAAUGGGCGAAAGCCUGACGGAGCAACGCCGCGUGAGUGAUGAAGGUCUUCGGAUCGUAAAACUCUGUUAUUAGGGAAGAACAUAUGUGUAAGUAACUGUGCACAUCUUGACGGUACCUAAUCAGAAAGCCACGGCUAACUACGUG
This 496-nucleotide ribosomal RNA is filed under the name uncultured bacterium. Its description in RNAcentral is "partial 16S ribosomal RNA". It matches the Rfam family "Bacterial small subunit ribosomal RNA", at positions 29 to 507 of the family's 1533-position model. The record is from RNAcentral.